This 650-nucleotide long non-coding RNA is filed under the name Panax ginseng (ginseng). RNAcentral's name for it is "long non-coding RNA (PGIN_LNC013419)". The record is from RNAcentral. Lineage: Eukaryota; Viridiplantae; Streptophyta; Magnoliopsida; Apiales; Araliaceae.
CAAUAAUAUCAAUUAAUUUCAUAUUCUAGUAAAAUAUCCUCAUUUAGACAUUUUAACAAACACCAAACAUGCAAGCUUUAAAAAACUCAGUUUCAUAUAAAUUCUAACAUAUAAAUACACAAUUUCCUUAUGUAAUCCUUCCUUAUACUCUGGAAUCUUUCUGAUGCCACCAAUAAUACAACCUCCCAAAACCAAUCAUAACAAUUAAUAACUAUUAUUUACUCAAAUUUUAUGAAUUUUGCCAAGAAAACAUAACUUGCCUUUUUUUUUUUUGCUUGCUAUUAUAGUUGAAAUCUUGCUCUGAGCUUGAUUAUGUAGGAAUUGAAUCCCUCCUUUGCCAAUACUUCAAAAUCUUCUUUACUUCCCGCUUGGAGUAUCAAUUAUUUCACUUACUCUAACUUUUGGUAAAGGCUUCUUGUAUAAGAUUUGAAGAAGAGUUCGAGCUUGGUUUUCUUGGGAGCAAAAGGGCUGAACAUUUUUGAACUUAGGAGGUGAAAUGAUUUGCACUGUAUAAGGAUAAAAAAAAAACCCCACUAACUUCUUCCAGCAGCUCCCACAUUUCCCACUCAAAUAGAUUUGCUAGGUGGUUUCCUCCUAACUAGUACACUACCUACUUUACUUAGACACCUCAUGCUAAAAAUGAAUAAGCA